This 279-nucleotide ribosomal RNA is filed under the name uncultured bacterium. RNAcentral describes it as "partial 16S ribosomal RNA". It matches the Rfam family "Bacterial small subunit ribosomal RNA", at positions 506 to 784 of the family's 1533-position model. The record is from RNAcentral.
UGCCAGCAGCCGCGGUAAUACGGAAGGUGCGCGCGUUAAUCGGAAUUACUGGGCGUAAAGCGUGCGCAGGCGGUUUUAUAAGUCAGAUGUGAAAUCCCCGAGCUCAACUUGGGAACUGCGUUUGAAACUGUAAGACUAGAGUGUGUCAGAGGGGGGUAGAAUUCCAUGUGUAGCAGUGAAAUGCGUAGAUAUAUGGAGGAAUACCAAUGGCGAAGGCAGCCCCCUGGGAUAACACUGACGCUAAGGUGCGCAAGCGUGGGGAGCAAACAGGAUUAGAUA